RNAcentral lists this ribosomal RNA (497 nucleotides) under uncultured bacterium. RNAcentral's name for it is "partial 16S ribosomal RNA". It matches the Rfam family "Bacterial small subunit ribosomal RNA", at positions 28 to 507 of the family's 1533-position model. The record is from RNAcentral.
GAUGAACGCUGGCGGCGUGCCUAAUACAUGCAAGUCGAGCGAACGGACGAGAAGCUUGCUUCUCUGAUGUUAGCGGCGGACGGGUGAGUAACACGUGGAUAACCUACCUAUAAGACUGGGAUAACUUCGGGAAACCGUAGCUAAUACCGGAUAAUAUUUUGAACCGCAUGGUUCAAAAGUGAAAGACGGUCUUGCUGUCACUUAUAGAUGGAUCCGCGCUGCAUUAGCUAGUUGGUAAGGUAACGGCUUACCAAGGCAACGAUGCAUAGCCGACCUGAGAGGGUGAUCGGCCACCCUGGAACUGAGACCCGGUCCAGACUCCUACGGGAGGCAGCAGUAGGGAAUCUUCCGCAAUGGGCGAAAGCCUGACGGAGCAACGCCGCGUGAGUGAUGAAGGUCUUCGGAUCGUAAAACUCUGUUAUUAGGGAAGAACAUAUGUGUAAGUAACUGUGCACAUCUUGACGGUACCUAAUCAGAAAGCCACGGCUAACUACGUG